UGAGGAAUAUUGGACAAUGGGGGGAACCCUGAUCCAGCCAUGCCGCGUGUGUGAAGAAGGCCUUAUGGUUGUAAAGCACUUUAAGUUGGGAGGAAGGGCAGUAAGCGAAUACCUUGCUGUUUUGACGUUACCGACAGAAUAAGCACCGGCUAACUCUGUGCCAGCAGCCGCGGUAAUACAGAGGGUGCAAGCGUUAAUCGGAAUUACUGGGCGUAAAGCGCGCGUAGGUGGUUCGUUAAGUUGAAUGUGAAAGCCCCGGGCUCAACCUGGGAACUGCAUCCAAAACUGGCGGGCUAGAGUAGGGCAGAGGGUGGUGGAAUUUCCUGUGUAGCGGUGAAAUGCGUAGAUAUAGGAAGGAACACCAGUGGCGAAGGCGACCACCUGGGCUCAUACUGACACUGAGGUGCGAAAGCGUGGGGAGCAAACAGG
RNAcentral lists this ribosomal RNA (429 nucleotides) under Pseudomonadota bacterium. RNAcentral's name for it is "Proteobacteria bacterium partial 16S ribosomal RNA". It matches the Rfam family "Bacterial small subunit ribosomal RNA", at positions 355 to 776 of the family's 1533-position model. Lineage: Bacteria; Pseudomonadati; Pseudomonadota. The record is from RNAcentral.